This is a long non-coding RNA of Labeo rohita (rohu), 242 nucleotides long. RefSeq lists it as uncharacterized. NCBI's taxonomy places the organism in Eukaryota, Metazoa, Chordata, Actinopteri, Cypriniformes, Cyprinidae. The transcript has 3 exons. The record is from RefSeq and is a predicted model, not a curated record.
UGACAUGGAAGUGGAUGAGAUGGAUGGAUGUUCGCAAGAUGAAGAAGUUGAGAGUGUGACACAAAAACCUCAACGGCACAUCUGAAGAAGUCACCCAGAAAGAGAGGUUUCAUCACAAUGACUCUUCCGUCUCGUGUUGACUGUGCAGGUCUGCCAGAGCCACUGCAUGAGGAAAACACUAGUUAUAACAUCACAAAUAACUCUGCAUUAUAACUACAUGUAAAUAUGUUUGGUAACACUUU